Molecule: non-coding RNA, 28 nt
Filed under: Mus musculus (house mouse)
Lineage: Eukaryota; Metazoa; Chordata; Mammalia; Rodentia; Muridae
Source: RNAcentral
UGACUGGCCGUUUGACUCUGGAUAUCUU